ACCAGGCUGGUUCAGUUGGAAGAACAUGAGACUCUUGAUCUUAGAAUCGUGGGUUCAGGCCCCAUGUUGGGUG
This 73-nucleotide transfer RNA is filed under the name Ailuropoda melanoleuca (giant panda). It matches the Rfam family "tRNA". Rfam says of the family: Transfer RNA (tRNA) molecules are approximately 80 nucleotides in length. Their secondary structure includes four short double-helical elements and three loops (D, anti-codon, and T loops). The record is from Rfam by way of RNAcentral. Lineage: Eukaryota; Metazoa; Chordata; Mammalia; Carnivora; Ursidae.